RNAcentral lists this ribosomal RNA (2902 nucleotides) under Escherichia coli. Its description in RNAcentral is "bacterial LSU rRNA". It matches the Rfam family "Bacterial large subunit ribosomal RNA". The record is from RNAcentral. Lineage: Bacteria; Pseudomonadati; Pseudomonadota; Gammaproteobacteria; Enterobacterales; Enterobacteriaceae.
UUAAGCGACUAAGCGUACACGGUGGAUGCCCUGGCAGUCAGAGGCGAUGAAGGACGUGCUAAUCUGCGAUAAGCGUCGGUAAGGUGAUAUGAACCGUUAUAACCGGCGAUUUCCGAAUGGGGAAACCCAGUGUGAUUCGUCACACUAUCAUUAACUGAAUCCAUAGGUUAAUGAGGCGAACCGGGGGAACUGAAACAUCUAAGUACCCCGAGGAAAAGAAAUCAACCGAGAUUCCCCCAGUAGCGGCGAGCGAACGGGGAGCAGCCCAGAGCCUGAAUCAGUGUGUGUGUUAGUGGAAGCGUCUGGAAAGGCGCGCGAUACAGGGUGACAGCCCCGUACACAAAAAUGCACAUGCUGUGAGCUCGAUGAGUAGGGCGGGACACGUGGUAUCCUGUCUGAAUAUGGGGGGACCAUCCUCCAAGGCUAAAUACUCCUGACUGACCGAUAGUGAACCAGUACCGUGAGGGAAAGGCGAAAAGAACCCCGGCGAGGGGAGUGAAAAAGAACCUGAAACCGUGUACGUACAAGCAGUGGGAGCACGCUUAGGCGUGUGACUGCGUACCUUUUGUAUAAUGGGUCAGCGACUUAUAUUCUGUAGCAAGGUUAACCGAAUAGGGGAGCCGAAGGGAAACCGAGUCUUAACUGGGCGUUAAGUUGCAGGGUAUAGACCCGAAACCCGGUGAUCUAGCCAUGGGCAGGUUGAAGGUUGGGUAACACUAACUGGAGGACCGAACCGACUAAUGUUGAAAAAUUAGCGGAUGACUUGUGGCUGGGGGUGAAAGGCCAAUCAAACCGGGAGAUAGCUGGUUCUCCCCGAAAGCUAUUUAGGUAGCGCCUCGUGAAUUCAUCUCCGGGGGUAGAGCACUGUUUCGGCAAGGGGGUCAUCCCGACUUACCAACCCGAUGCAAACUGCGAAUACCGGAGAAUGUUAUCACGGGAGACACACGGCGGGUGCUAACGUCCGUCGUGAAGAGGGAAACAACCCAGACCGCCAGCUAAGGUCCCAAAGUCAUGGUUAAGUGGGAAACGAUGUGGGAAGGCCCAGACAGCCAGGAUGUUGGCUUAGAAGCAGCCAUCAUUUAAAGAAAGCGUAAUAGCUCACUGGUCGAGUCGGCCUGCGCGGAAGAUGUAACGGGGCUAAACCAUGCACCGAAGCUGCGGCAGCGACGCUUAUGCGUUGUUGGGUAGGGGAGCGUUCUGUAAGCCUGUGAAGGUGUGCUGUGAGGCAUGCUGGAGGUAUCAGAAGUGCGAAUGCUGACAUAAGUAACGAUAAAGCGGGUGAAAAGCCCGCUCGCCGGAAGACCAAGGGUUCCUGUCCAACGUUAAUCGGGGCAGGGUGAGUCGACCCCUAAGGCGAGGCCGAAAGGCGUAGUCGAUGGGAAACAGGUUAAUAUUCCUGUACUUGGUGUUACUGCGAAGGGGGGACGGAGAAGGCUAUGUUGGCCGGGCGACGGUUGUCCCGGUUUAAGCGUGUAGGCUGGUUUUCCAGGCAAAUCCGGAAAAUCAAGGCUGAGGCGUGAUGACGAGGCACUACGGUGCUGAAGCAACAAAUGCCCUGCUUCCAGGAAAAGCCUCUAAGCAUCAGGUAACAUCAAAUCGUACCCCAAACCGACACAGGUGGUCAGGUAGAGAAUACCAAGGCGCUUGAGAGAACUCGGGUGAAGGAACUAGGCAAAAUGGUGCCGUAACUUCGGGAGAAGGCACGCUGAUAUGUAGGUGAAGUCCCUCGCGGAUGGAGCUGAAAUCAGUCGAAGAUACCAGCUGGCUGCAACUGUUUAUUAAAAACACAGCACUGUGCAAACACGAAAGUGGACGUAUACGGUGUGACGCCUGCCCGGUGCCGGAAGGUUAAUUGAUGGGGUCAGCGCAAGCGAAGCUCUUGAUCGAAGCCCCGGUAAACGGCGGCCGUAACUAUAACGGUCCUAAGGUAGCGAAAUUCCUUGUCGGGUAAGUUCCGACCUGCACGAAUGGCGUAAUGAUGGCCAGGCUGUCUCCACCCGAGACUCAGUGAAAUUGAACUCGCUGUGAAGAUGCAGUGUACCCGCGGCAAGACGGAAAGACCCCGUGAACCUUUACUAUAGCUUGACACUGAACAUUGAGCCUUGAUGUGUAGGAUAGGUGGGAGGCUUUGAAGUGUGGACGCCAGUCUGCAUGGAGCCGACCUUGAAAUACCACCCUUUAAUGUUUGAUGUUCUAACGUGGACCCGUAAUCCGGGUUGCGGACAGUGUCUGGUGGGUAGUUUGACUGGGGCGGUCUCCUCCUAAAGAGUAACGGAGGAGCACGAAGGUUGGCUAAUCCUGGUCGGACAUCAGGAGGUUAGUGCAAUGGCAUAAGCCAGCUUGACUGCGAGCGUGACGGCGCGAGCAGGUGCGAAAGCAGGUCAUAGUGAUCCGGUGGUUCUGAAUGGAAGGGCCAUCGCUCAACGGAUAAAAGGUACUCCGGGGAUAACAGGCUGAUACCGCCCAAGAGUUCAUAUCGACGGCGGUGUUUGGCACCUCGAUGUCGGCUCAUCACAUCCUGGGGCUGAAGUAGGUCCCAAGGGUAUGGCUGUUCGCCAUUUAAAGUGGUACGCGAGCUGGGUUUAGAACGUCGUGAGACAGUUCGGUCCCUAUCUGCCGUGGGCGCUGGAGAACUGAGGGGGGCUGCUCCUAGUACGAGAGGACCGGAGUGGACGCAUCACUGGUGUUCGGGUUGUCAUGCCAAUGGCACUGCCCGGUAGCUAAAUGCGGAAGAGAUAAGUGCUGAAAGCAUCUAAGCACGAAACUUGCCCCGAGAUGAGUUCUCCCUGACUCCUUGAGAGUCCUGAAGGAACGUUGAAGACGACGACGUUGAUAGGCCGGGUGUGUAAGCGCAGCGAUGCGUUGAGCUAACCGGUACUAAUGAACCGUGAGGCUUAACCUU